Molecule: ribosomal RNA, 674 nt
Filed under: uncultured bacterium
Lineage: Bacteria
Description: bacterial SSU rRNA
Rfam family: Bacterial small subunit ribosomal RNA
Source: RNAcentral
AGGGUUUGAUCAUGGCUCAGGAUGAACGCUAGCGGCAGGCUUAACACAUGCAAGUCGAACGGUAACAUGAGUGCUUGCACUUGAUGACGAGUGGCGCACGGGUGCGUAACGCGUAUGCAACCUACCUUUAACUGGAGAAUAGCCUUUAGAAAUGAAGAAUAAUACUCCAUAAUAUUUACUUACGGCAUCGUAAGUAUCUUAAAGCUUCGGCGGUUAAAGAUGGGCAUGCGUUCUAUUAGUUAGUUGGUGAGGUAAUGGCUCACCAAGACUUCGAUAGAUAGGGGGCCUGAGAGGGUUAUCCCCCACACUGGUACUGAGACACGGACCAGACUCCUACGGGAGGCAGCAGUGAGGAAUAUUGCACAAUGGACGAAAGUCUGAUGCAGCCAUGCCGCGUGCAGGAUGAAUGCCCUAUGGGUUGUAAACUGCUUUUAUAUAGGAAGAAACUUUUCUACGUGUAGAGAACUGACGGUACUAUAAGAAUAAGGACCGGCUAACUCCGUGCCAGCAGCCGCGGUAAUACGGAGGGUCCAAGCGUUAUCCGGAUUCAUUGGGUUUAAAGGGUCCGCAGGCGGGAAAAUAAGUCAGUGGUGAAAGCCUACAGCUUAACUGUAGAACUGCCAUUGAUACUGUUUUUCUUGAGUAUAGAUGAAGUGGGCGGAAUAUAUCAUGUA